This 114-nucleotide ribosomal RNA is filed under the name Leucoagaricus barssii. RNAcentral describes it as "partial 28S ribosomal RNA". It matches the Rfam family "Eukaryotic large subunit ribosomal RNA", at positions 1 to 113 of the family's 3401-position model. Lineage: Eukaryota; Fungi; Basidiomycota; Agaricomycetes; Agaricales; Agaricaceae. The record is from RNAcentral.
UGACCUCAAAUCAGGUAGGACUACCCCGCUGAACUUAAGCAUAUCAAUAAGCGGAGGAAAAGAAACUAACAAGGAUUCCCCUAGUAACUGCGAGUGAAGCGGGAAAAGCUCAAA